Molecule: long non-coding RNA, 440 nt
Organism: Cucurbita maxima (winter squash)
Lineage: Eukaryota; Viridiplantae; Streptophyta; Magnoliopsida; Cucurbitales; Cucurbitaceae
Exons: 3
Source: RefSeq, a predicted model, not a curated record
GAGAGAAGGCGACGGCGUGCCACGUGUCAGCCGGCAAGAGGUCUGCAUGUGCCAAUAACCACCGGACAUGCGUCGAACGCCGCCUGGGGAGACGCAGCUCCAGCCUUCCAGCAACACGCGUCGCAGCCACGCAACCCGAUCCGCGUUCCUCAGCUGACCCAUUACCCGCAUGAUGAAACGAACCGCGACGACCCACAGUCCACCCGAACCAAACCGACGACCCACAGCUGCAGAAAAACGUGUGCGCGUGACACUCGCGCGUGGAACCUGCGAGAUCCUAUUGAGGAAAAAUCAGUACCUUUUGAUACGCUAAUUGUGUGAAAACGCUACAUAAGGGCACGCAUCAUCCAAGUACGUGAGACGUUGGGUCAAGAGAGGGCACAUUGAAAGAUGUGGAAUGUCACAGAGGAAGCGUGUCCCAAGGCGUCAGUCCAAUUUUA